ACGUAGGGCGCAAGCGUUAUCCGGAAUUAUUGGGCGUAAAGAGCUCGUAGGCGGUUUGUCGCGUCUGCCGUGAAAGUCCGGGGCUCAACUCCGGAUCUGCGGUGGGUACGGGCAGACUAGAGUGAUGUAGGGGAGACUGGAAUUCCUGGUGUAGCGGUGAAAUGCGUAGAUAUCAGGAGGAACACCGGUGGUGUAGACGGCUCACUGGACCGUAACUGACGCUGAGACACGAAAGCGUGGGUAGCAAACAGGA
This 253-nucleotide ribosomal RNA is filed under the name uncultured prokaryote. RNAcentral's name for it is "partial 16S ribosomal RNA". It matches the Rfam family "Bacterial small subunit ribosomal RNA", at positions 525 to 777 of the family's 1533-position model. The record is from RNAcentral.